RNAcentral lists this non-coding RNA (155 nucleotides) under Donghicola sp. KarMa. RNAcentral's name for it is "Ruegeria cis2 sRNA". It matches the Rfam family "Ruegeria cis2 sRNA". Rfam says of the family: Cis-encoded. Targets ABC transporter. Functions in transport. Lineage: Bacteria; Pseudomonadati; Pseudomonadota; Alphaproteobacteria; Rhodobacterales; Roseobacteraceae. The record is from Rfam by way of RNAcentral.
AUCGAGCUAUUGUGUGGAUUGUAGUUGAUAAAAACGAAACCACGCGCCUGGUCGAUACAGUGGAACAGGGGGUUCCAGUCGAACAUACUGAGCAUGAACGGAGGUAGGGAGUUGGCAACAAACAUCUUGCCCGACGCGAUCAUAUUGGCGCGCUG